AGUGAACGCUGGCGGUAGGCCUAACACAUGCAAGUCGAACGGCAGCACAGUAAGAGCUUGCUCUUACGGGUGGCGAGUGGCGGACGGGUGAGGAAUACAUCGGAAUCUACUUUUUCGUGGGGGUUAACGUAGGGAAACUUACGCUAAUACCGCAUACGACCUACGGGUGAAAGCAGGGGAUCUUCGGACCUUGCGCGAUUGAAUGAGCCGAUGUCGGAUUAGCUAGUUGGCGGGGUAAAGGCCCACCAAGGCGACGAUCCGUAGCUGGUCUGAGAGGAUGAUCAGCCGCACUGGAACUGAGACACGGUCCAGACUCCUACGGGAGGCAGCAGUGGGGAAUAUUGGACAAUGGGCGCAAGCCUGAUCCAGCCAUACCGCGUGGGUGAAGAAGGCCUUCGGGUUGUAAAGCCCUUUUGUUGGGAAAGAAAAGCAGCAGGUUAAUACCCCGCUGUUCUGACGGUACCCAAAGAAUAAGCACCGGCUAACUUCGUG
Molecule: ribosomal RNA, 492 nt
Filed under: uncultured bacterium
Lineage: Bacteria
Description: partial 16S ribosomal RNA
Rfam family: Bacterial small subunit ribosomal RNA
Source: RNAcentral